GAAAUUGAAGGGGAAAGCUGGGGAGUCAAAGAAUCAAUUGAAAAUUCAAUGGGGGAAGCCCCAGGGAUGGUAGAGAUGACACCUGCGAGUGGAGCAGAUGUGGUCGCAGGGAUGAAGGAGGCGAUGGAGAGGGCCUCGGCAGAGACCGAGGCAUUGAGGAUGAUGGUGGGGGAGCUGUGUGAGAGAAGCGCGCAGCAGUGCGAACUGAUG
Molecule: unclassified non-coding RNA, 210 nt
Filed under: Hevea brasiliensis (rubber tree)
Lineage: Eukaryota; Viridiplantae; Streptophyta; Magnoliopsida; Malpighiales; Euphorbiaceae
Source: RNAcentral